Molecule: long non-coding RNA, 207 nt
Filed under: Lathyrus oleraceus (garden pea)
Lineage: Eukaryota; Viridiplantae; Streptophyta; Magnoliopsida; Fabales; Fabaceae
Description: Pisum sativum (pea) long non-coding RNA (PSAT_LNC033304)
Source: RNAcentral
UUAGCUCUGACAUCUCUCUGAUUCUUCACAAGGAUUUGUCUCCUCUUCUCAUCUUCAAUAUCCCUCCAAGCUCUAGCUAGCUUCUCCUUGGUAAUGUCAUGCUCCUUUGUAGACGACUCCAACGCUUGGCUGAUCUUGCGGUAAUAAGCGGUGUCUAUCUCAAAGCGCUUCACCUCCAUGGCAUGUCUCUUAUCCUGAUCUUCUAUU